UGAUUCUUCGGAUGAAGUCUCUUGUGACUGAGUGGCGGACGGGUGAGUAACGCGUGGGUAACCUGCCUCACACAGGGGGAUAACAGUUGGAAACGACCGCUAAUACCGCAUAACCCGCUGGUGCCGCAUGGCACUGACGGAAAAGAUUCUAUCGGUGUGAGAUGGACCCGCGUCUGAUUAGCCAGUUGGCAGGGUAACGGCCUACCAAAGCGACGAUCAGUAGCCGGCCUGAGAGGGUGAACGGCCACAUUGGGACUGAGACACGGCCCAGACUCCUGCGGGAGGCAGCAGUGGGGAAUAUUGCACAAUGGGGGAAACCCUGAUGCAGCGACGCCGCGUGAGUGAAGAAGUAUUUCGGUAUGUAAAGCUCUAUCAGCAGGGAAGAAAAUGACGGUACCUGAUUAAGAAGCCCCGGCUAACUACGUGCCAGCAGCCGCGGUAAUACGUAGGGGGCAAGCGUUAUCCGGAUUUACUGGGUGUAAAGGGAGCGUAGACGGUGAUGCAAGUCAGAAGUGAAAGCCCGGGGCUCAACUCCGGGACUGCUUUUGAAACUGUGUGACUGGAGUGCAGGAGAGGUAAGCGGAAUUCCUGGUGUAGCGGUGAAAUGCGUAGAUAUCAGGAGGAACACCAGUGGCGAAGGCGGCUUACAGGACUGUAACUGACGUUGAGGCUCGAAAGCGUGGGGAGCAAACAGGAUUAGAUACCCUGGUAGUCCACGCCGUANACGAUGAAUAUUAGGUGUCGGGGAGCAAAGCUCUUNGGUGCCGCAGCAAACGCAUUAAAUAUUCCACCUGGGGAGUACGUUCGCAA
RNAcentral lists this ribosomal RNA (810 nucleotides) under uncultured bacterium. Its description in RNAcentral is "bacterial SSU rRNA". It matches the Rfam family "Bacterial small subunit ribosomal RNA", at positions 69 to 891 of the family's 1533-position model. The record is from RNAcentral.